GUAGGUGGCAAGCGUUGUCCGGGAAUUAUUGGGGCGUAAAGCGCGCGCAGGCGGUUCUUUAAGUCUGAUGUGAAAGCCCACGGGCUCAACCGUGGAGGGUCAUUGGAAACUGGAGAACUUGAGUACAGAAGAGGAAGGCGGAACUCCACGUGUAGCGGUGAAAUGCGUAGAGAUGUGGAGGAACACCAGUGGCGAAGGCGGCUUUCUGGUCUGUAACUGACGCUGAGGCGCGAAAGCGUGGGGAGCAAACAGGAUUAGAUACCCUGGUAGUCCACGCCGUAAACGAUGAGUGCUAAGUGUUAGGGGGUUUCCGCCCCUUAGUGCUGCAGCUAACGCAUUAAGCACUCCGCCUGGGGAGUACGGCCGCAAAGGCUGA
RNAcentral lists this ribosomal RNA (376 nucleotides) under uncultured organism. RNAcentral describes it as "partial 16S ribosomal RNA". It matches the Rfam family "Bacterial small subunit ribosomal RNA", at positions 527 to 897 of the family's 1533-position model. The record is from RNAcentral.